CGAAUACAUUAGCAUGGGAUAAUGGAAUAGGACCCUGUCCUCCUAUUUUCAGUUGGUUUGCCGCGAGGACCAGGGUAAUGAUUAAUAGGGAUAGUUGGGGGCAUUAAUAUUUAAUUGUCAGAGGUGAAAUUCUUGGAUUUAUGAAAGAUUAACUUCUGCGAAAGCAUCUGCCAAGGAUGUUUUCAUUAAUCAAGAACGAAAGUUAGGGGAUCGAAGACGAUCAGAUACCGUCGUAGUCUUAACCAUAAACGAUGCCGACCAGCGAUUAGGAGACGUUGAAUACAAAACACCACCAUGCGCAUUGCGGUCGUCUUUGGUGUCGCUCACAAGGCGGCACCGGGGCGGCUUAGCUCGCAUGGCACCGGUGAAUGACUCCCUA
This 379-nucleotide ribosomal RNA is filed under the name Acanthamoeba sp. MN-ISP4-T3. RNAcentral describes it as "SSU rRNA". The stretch from base 1 to 322 matches the Rfam family "Eukaryotic small subunit ribosomal RNA", at positions 796 to 1116 of the family's 1831-position model. Lineage: Eukaryota; Discosea; Longamoebia; Acanthamoebidae. The record is from RNAcentral.